UUGUAUUUAAGUUUUUCUUGUAACAUGAAUGAUGUGUGAUACUAUCCCUAAACCCAUUCUUGUUAUUAGGUAAUAAGUUGUCUCCAUGCCAUUUGAUGGCUGCUGACUGUGUUUCUUUGUUUGCUUAUGCCUAACAAUCACCGUUGUAGAUUGUAAUUGUAAAUAUACCUCGUGAAUGAAGUAAAAUUUUCAUAUGUUUUCAGCUGCAUUUAAAACUUAUCUGAGAAGUUGAAAAAACACAGAAUCAAGCAAGAGGUCUUGUGCGAUAAAAAGAGCGUUUGGCUGUUAUGAAGACAAGUUCAUUCCAAUUCCUAUUCCUCUCAUUGAUCUCCAUCAUCAGGCAUUCCUACAAGUAAAUCUGGGUUAUCAUCAUCAAUUGUAUCCUAAUUUCUUUUGCUUCUGUUUUUCUCAGAUGCAGCAAGAGUAGGAGGCUUAGAUGGAGUAUUGAUACCUUCGGCCUGGGAUCAAAAAUGGUACUGGAAAUCAUAACGGCAAACACUGAUACUGAUCAAACCUUGGUGGGAGGGGCCGUAAAUUAUGUAUAGACAUGAUGUUCUAUUUUUUUAAGUUUGUAAAUAUGAUAAAGCGGGCUAUGUAAUUCAGUGAUGCAAUAGAAAUAUUUACUAUCAAUUUUUAUGAGGUUAAAUAAUUUAUUUAUUGGUGUAA
Rosa rugosa (rugosa rose) is the source of this 666-nucleotide long non-coding RNA. RefSeq lists it as uncharacterized. Lineage: Eukaryota; Viridiplantae; Streptophyta; Magnoliopsida; Rosales; Rosaceae. The record is from RefSeq and is a predicted model, not a curated record. The transcript has 4 exons.